CCUAGAUGAAGUGGGGUGGAUGUUGAUAUCUGGAAAGGGGGCCAGUGCCAAGCAGCCUGGGGAAAACAGUAGUCAGGCACUCUUGACUUCCAGGAGGGUGGUUGUGUGUGUGUGCAAAAGCCACAAUUUUGGAGCUGAUUUUCAGAAUUUUUGGAGUAAAAUUAGAACGCCUGGAGUCAAAGCGUGAUUUCCCAUUUCAUGAACACACUUGAACUUGUAUCACACACAUACACACCCACCCGCACACCCACUAAGCCAGACUGUGAAGCUCACCAUUUCAUACUUGGCUGCAAGAGACUGCAAGAUGUGUGUGGCUGGUGGGUGCAGGUCUGUGCCUCCUCAUAGGCGAGCAGAGACCCACAAAUUUGAGCCGGCCUUGGUAGCCAGCCAGAAUUUGCACUUGCCACUCGCUUUACUUCUCCUUGUAAUGGGGGAGAAAUGUCCCGCUGAGCUCUGGAGGCUUUUUCAGAACGAAUAAAUACCAAAGGGACAAGCCUUCUCUCAAA
This is a long non-coding RNA of Podarcis raffonei (Aeolian wall lizard), 506 nucleotides long. RefSeq lists it as uncharacterized. The record is from RefSeq and is a predicted model, not a curated record. Lineage: Eukaryota; Metazoa; Chordata; Lepidosauria; Squamata; Lacertidae. The transcript is spliced from 2 exons.